CAGCUACAACAAACCAAAACACAAAUAAUUAUUAAUCAAAAAAAGAGAGAGAGAGAGAGAGAGAGAGAGAGAACUAUAUUGGGCUGUCGAAUCACUUAAGUGACAA
Molecule: long non-coding RNA, 106 nt
Organism: Drosophila arizonae
Lineage: Eukaryota; Metazoa; Arthropoda; Insecta; Diptera; Drosophilidae
Gene: Hers
Source: RefSeq, a predicted model, not a curated record